UUGCUCUAGCUCAGUUACCACUGCCAAGAU
This 30-nucleotide non-coding RNA is filed under the name Mus musculus (house mouse). Lineage: Eukaryota; Metazoa; Chordata; Mammalia; Rodentia; Muridae. The record is from RNAcentral.